AGACAUCGCUUCCUGUAACUUCCCAAUCACUUCUUAAUAGUGCCCGUGCCCAUAAAGCUCUGUGGUUUCUUGCAAUCACAUGGAGAAAUGAUCUCUCUGGCUGACGCUGAUGUGCUGCUACCUCGAGGUAAGGAGGCAGCAGCUGUGUUUCAGCACACAACCAUUGCACAACCAUUCAGGAUGGGAAGAGCUGAUGUAUGCUGGAUCCAAUUGAAAGAGGAAAUUUGGGUCAGCAGAUUAUUGUUGUCAGUGCUGGGACAUGGCCAGGUUGCUAUGGGGACACUUGUGCCUUUCAGGUUUUGAUCCUGCAAGGAGUCUGGAUGCUCUUUCACCCCAUUUCCCUGAAAAAUGGUGUUUCUGUGAUCCUCUCUUCCAGCCGCCAGCCCUGCUCCCCGCUCCAAUCGCAUCUCAGCCCAGUGGCAACCUCCAACCACAUCUAAGAGAAGGGUGGAGUGCUCCAAGACAUGAAGCACCUACAACAAGCCUGUGCAAUGCCUGGCCUGAGCGCCACGGGCAUCUCCAGUAUUCGUUUGGUGCCAACAUUGCCAGGCAGCACGUUGUGGCAGCAGGAAAAGGGGGGAACUCACCUGUGUAGACCUGGAUGAGCUGGUGCCCGCUGCCAUCAGCAGCAGUGUGAAGGGACGAUGCCAGCGUGGAGGUGAUGGGGCUCUUGCUGGAGCAGGGAUCAACCUACAGAUUGGUGCUUUGCCCAGAGAACCUGCGCUUUGCAAACAACAUCCAAAUUCUCAUCUUUAAAAUCAGGUCUAGAGCCCAACCCUGCCCACAUGAGGGGUUGGAGGAUGAAAGCUUCAAGGCCUGGAAGCAUGGUUUUGAUUACCAGGCUUUGGGAAUCUGGGUGGGUGGGUCUGGUGGAGCCAGGGAUGAAAUCCAGGGGGCAGACCCACAGCCAGCCCAGGGAGCCAGUGGGUUUGAGCUGAGAGCCAGGACAGUGGGAAACACACCUGCGCAACCAGCUUAAGCUUCUGCCUCCCCCUGUACCUGGGGCAGGAGGAGACAGAGUCAAGCUGGGGCUGCCAUAGCAGUAAGGGCUCUGGGGAGAUUGGGAAUUGCACAGGGAAAAGGGAAAUUCAUCCCCAGAACUAACCUGUGCCAAAAAUAAUCAGUGACUAAUUUUAUGUCUUUAUGAUUGCCUUUUAACUGCAAGUUAUUAAAGACAGGGAGAAAGAA
RNAcentral lists this long non-coding RNA (1188 nucleotides) under Strigops habroptila (Kakapo). Its description in RNAcentral is "lncRNA (ENSSHBG00005014325.1)". The record is from RNAcentral. Lineage: Eukaryota; Metazoa; Chordata; Aves; Psittaciformes; Psittacidae.